UACGUAGGGGGCGAGCGUUGUCCGGAUUUAUUGGGCGUAAAGAGCGCGUAGGCGGCCACUCAAGUCGAUCGUGAAAGCUCGGGGCUCAACCCCGAGAUUGCGGUCGAUACUGAGUGGCUAGAGGCUGGUAGGGGGGUGUGGAAUUCCCGGUGUAGCGGUGGAAUGCGCAGAUAUCGGGAGGAACACCGGUGGCGAAGGCGGCACCCUGGGCCAGUCCUGACGCUGAUGAGCGAAAGCGUGGGGAGCGAACAGG
Molecule: ribosomal RNA, 253 nt
Filed under: uncultured bacterium
Lineage: Bacteria
Description: partial 16S ribosomal RNA
Rfam family: Bacterial small subunit ribosomal RNA
Source: RNAcentral